This 283-nucleotide unclassified non-coding RNA is filed under the name plant metagenome. RNAcentral describes it as "partial contains small subunit ribosomal RNA, internal transcribed spacer 1, and 5.8S ribosomal RNA". The stretch from base 1 to 53 matches the Rfam family "Eukaryotic small subunit ribosomal RNA", at positions 1778 to 1831 of the family's 1831-position model. The record is from RNAcentral.
GGAAGUAAAAGCGUAACAAGGUUUCCGUAGGUGAACCUGCGGAAGGAUCAUUAUUGUAUAGCCGAGGUGCGAGGGCUGUCGCUGACCCGAAAGGUCGUGCACGCCCGAGUGCCCUCACACACAUCCAUCUCACCCCUAUGUGCACCACCGCGUGGGUCCCCCUUUGGCUUGUUCGGAGGGGGGCUUACGUUUUCACACAAACUUUGUAUGCAGUGUAGAAUGUAUUUUUUGUUUUGCGAUCACGCAAUCAAUACAACUUUCAACAACGGAUCUCUUGGCUCUC